AUCUCAUGGACAGAGGAGCUUGGUGGGCUCUAGUGCAUGGGAUCGCAAAGAGUCAGACAUGCCUGUAGCAACUUAGAACAUAUAUAGAUUUUAAUGCAGACAUUUGUAAUUGAUAUUUCUAUAAGACUAACACAAUGUAGAGAAAUUCAGUUCAGUUUAGUCUCUCAGUCUUGUCCGACUCUUUGUCACCCAAUGGAUUGCAGUAAAGAAAUUGGCCGGGUGCUACAAGACAAAAGUAAAGAAUUUGCUCCAUCCCUCCCUUCUCUGCCCCCUGCCUAUGAGAGUUAUCUCCAGAGCCCUGAGUUGUUGGGAUCCCAGAAAAUCAUAGGCAACAAGAACAGUAUUGCGUGACCUGCAGAACUUCAACAGUUUGCUCUGACUAAAAUAAGGGUGACAUUCUACAUGUAGAAUGCCAACAGAGAAAAGCAUCAGUUUAUGUGGAAAGAUAAUACGACAGAGAAAGAACAAAAGUUUAAAAAAUACUAAAGGAAAUACCAGAACAUUAAAUAUGACCUGGAAAUAUCAACAUCAAGUAAUGAGCUUUUUAAUAAAAGACAUUUUAUACCUCUGUCUCUUGAAAAGGUGAAACAUUAUGACCUGUCUGAGAAUAAGCAGGGACCAGAUCUAUGCCUAAUUCCACAGUGGGACGGUACUCAACUGUUGCGCCUUGGACAUCCAACUAUGCAGAAAGCAAGAAUUUUCGAGGAUGGAGGUCAAGAUGGCAGAGUAGAUCCCACCUUCCCAUGAAUACAUCAAAAAGACAUCCACAUCCACGUGUCCAAGAGUUCUUACAGAGGACCUACCAAAUGCUGGCAGAUCUCGUACAACCAAAGCUACAAUAAAAUUGCUGUGGAACCAGUUGUGUGUCUGCAUGAUGCAUGGACCAGACCUCCCACAUCAGAGGGAAGACCUGCUUGACCUUGAAGAGCAACAGACUCCUAGCAUCAGUAAGACAGCUCCUUAAAAGAUAAAUUCCUUCUUGACCUUGUAAGGGGUCACAUGACCCACCAUGAUGAUGCUUAGAUCUGGAUUAUGUACACUGUCAAUAAUGUCUUUUCAUGCACAGCCCUCUGUCUCCAAAACUUACAUCCCUGUGCCUUGACUUCUGGAGGACACAACAGUUCUCAGGCCUUCUGAGAUGCUCUUCCUGGGUUAUAGUUCUCAAAUCUGACUCGAAUAAAAUUUUCCAUUUCUUUCUUAGA
Molecule: long non-coding RNA, 1202 nt
Organism: Capra hircus (goat)
Lineage: Eukaryota; Metazoa; Chordata; Mammalia; Artiodactyla; Bovidae
Exons: 2
Source: RefSeq, a predicted model, not a curated record